RNAcentral lists this long non-coding RNA (343 nucleotides) under Sorghum bicolor (sorghum). RNAcentral's name for it is "long non-coding RNA (SBIC_LNC007395)". Lineage: Eukaryota; Viridiplantae; Streptophyta; Magnoliopsida; Poales; Poaceae. The record is from RNAcentral.
CCAUUGUGACAGGUCGAGUCACAAGGGUACGGGCAGUCUAUCUUCUGGAAGGAGCUGCGACCGAAGAACCAGUCGCCAACAGCGUUUGCUAUUGUCUGCACAGGUGAGAAAAACUCCGUUAGAUUGAACAUAAAAUGUCCUCAUGCUUUGAAAGCACGAGCUAAUUCAAUUGUAAAUGUAAGGUUCAGGGUUUUUGGUGCAUUACUGUGUUUCCGAGCUUGGGGGAGUCAGAUGAGAACCAUAGCUCCUGCGACUCAGACUGGCAGUGCACGAAGCAUGAGUUUAUGAACAACCCUCUUGAGUCGGAGUUCGCUUGUUCAGACACUUCCUUCAAAAAAUCACC